AAUGGCUCAUUAAAUCAGUUAUCGUUUAUUUGAUAGUACCUUACUACUUGGAUAACCGUGGUAAUUCUAGAGCUAAUACAUGCUGAAAACCCCGACUUCGGAAGGGGUGUAUUUAUUAGAUAAAAAACCAAUGCCCUUCGGGGCUCCUUGGUGAUUCAUAAUAACUUCUCAGAUCGCAUGGCCUUGCGCCGGCGACGGUUCAUUCAAAUUUCUGCCCUAUCAACUUUCGAUGGUAAGGUAUUGGCUUACCAUGGUUUCAACGGGUAACGGGGAAUUAGGGUUCGAUUCCGGAGAGGGAGCCUGAGAAACGGCUACCACAUCCAAGGAAGGCAGCAGGCGCGCAAAUUACCCAAUCCCGACACGGGGAGGUAGUGACAAUAAAUACUGAUACAGGGCUCUUUUGGGUCUUGUAAUUGGAAUGAGUACAAUUUAAACCUCUUAACGAGGAACAAUUGGAGGGCAAGUCUGGUGCCAGCAGCCGCGGUAAUUCCAGCUCCAAUAGCGUAUAUUAAAGUUGUUGCAGUUAAAAAGCUCGUAGUUGAACCUUUGGCCUGGCUGGCAGGUCCGCCUCACCGCGUGCACUUGUCCGGCCGGGCCUUCUUUUCUGGAGAACCGCAUGCCCUUCACUGGGUGUGUUGGGGACCAGGACUUUUACUUUGAAAAAAUUAGAGUGUUCAAAGCAGGCCUUUGCUCGAAUACGUUAGCAUGGAAUAAUAGAAUAGGACGUGCGGUCCUAUUUUGUUGGUUUCUAGGACCGCCGUAAUGAUUAAUAGGGACAGUCGGGGGCAUCAGUAUUCAAUUGUCAGAGGUGAAAUUCUUGGAUUUAUUGAAGACUAACUACUGCGAAAGCAUUUGCCAAGGAUGUUUUCAUUAAUCAGUGAACGAAAGUUAGGGGAUCGAAGACGAUCAGAUACCGUCGUAGUCUUAACCAUAAACUAUGCCGACUAGGGAUCGGGCGGUGUUAUUAUUUUGACUCGCUCGGCACCUUACGAG
RNAcentral lists this ribosomal RNA (993 nucleotides) under Phragmocamarosporium qujingensis. RNAcentral's name for it is "SSU rRNA". It matches the Rfam family "Eukaryotic small subunit ribosomal RNA", at positions 92 to 1094 of the family's 1831-position model. RNAcentral also lists the same sequence under 1 other name. Lineage: Eukaryota; Fungi; Ascomycota; Dothideomycetes; Pleosporales; Lentitheciaceae. The record is from RNAcentral.